RNAcentral lists this ribosomal RNA (278 nucleotides) under uncultured prokaryote. RNAcentral describes it as "partial 16S ribosomal RNA". It matches the Rfam family "Bacterial small subunit ribosomal RNA", at positions 524 to 801 of the family's 1533-position model. The record is from RNAcentral.
UACGUAGGGGGCAAGCGUUAUCCGGAUUUACUGGGUGUAAAGGGAGCGCAGACGGCAGUGCAAGUCUGAUGUGAAAGCCCGGGGCUCAACCCCGGAACUGCAUUGGAAACUGUACAGCUUGAGUGUCGGAGAGGUAAGCGGAAUUCCUAGUGUAGUGGUGAAAUGCGUAGAUAUUAGGAGGAACACCGGUGGCGAAGGCGGCUUACUGGACGAUUACUGACGUUGAGGCUCGAAAGCGUGGGGAGCAAACAGGAUUAGAUACCCCGGUAGUCCCUGAG